This 428-nucleotide ribosomal RNA is filed under the name Verrucomicrobiota bacterium. Its description in RNAcentral is "Verrucomicrobia bacterium partial 16S ribosomal RNA". It matches the Rfam family "Bacterial small subunit ribosomal RNA", at positions 355 to 776 of the family's 1533-position model. Lineage: Bacteria; Pseudomonadati; Verrucomicrobiota. The record is from RNAcentral.
UGGGGAAUCUUCCGCAAUGGACGAAAGUCUGACGGAGCAACGCCGCGUGAGUGAAGACGGCCUUCGGGUUGUAAAGCUCUGUGAUUCGGGACGAAAGGCCAUAUGUGAAUAAUAUAUGGAAAUGACGGUACCGAAAAAGCAAGCCACGGCUAACUACGUGCCAGCAGCCGCGGUAAUACGUAGGUGGCAAGCGUUGUCCGGAAUUAUUGGGCGUAAAGCGCGCGCAGGCGGUCACUUAAGUCCAUCUUAGAAGUGCGGGGCUUAACCCCGUGAUGGGAUGGAAACUGGGAGACUGGAGUAUCGGAGAGGAAAGUGGAAUUCCUAGUGUAGCGGUGAAAUGCGUAGAUAUUAGGAAGAACACCGGUGGCGAAGGCGACUUUCUGGACGAAAACUGACGCUGAGGUACGAAAGCGUGGGUAGCAAACAGG